UCUAAGCUUUCUCAAAUUUCCUAUAAUACGCUUAUCAUAACUUCCCUCCUCUUUCUAUUUUCACUCUUUUCUCUCUUAAAAUGUCUUUCCUAAACCCAUCUCCUCCACCUCAACGGUUCCCCUUCAUAGCCGACCUUCUUCUCCACCAAGGAAGUCCAAAUCAUCCAAAGUUUACUUUUGGAGCACAAAAUCAAUGGGUUUUUGCAAGGGAAAGCUAGACUAGCUAUGAGUUGGAGAGCUUUGGGGUCGGUGUGUACAUCGGCAGCUUCUCUACUGCCACUACCGAGGGAUUUACAGGGACUAGAGCCAAAAUUGUAUUUUGCCAUUUAGGCUGGCUUCAAUUGUAAUUAAAUUUUGAGGGUUGUAACCACCUUGUAAACAUUACUUUUGGGAUCCCGUGUACCAAACUCUUAUUUUAAUGAAAGCUAACCAUUUUAUGGUCAAA
This is a long non-coding RNA of Humulus lupulus (European hop), 445 nucleotides long. RefSeq lists it as uncharacterized. NCBI's taxonomy places the organism in Eukaryota, Viridiplantae, Streptophyta, Magnoliopsida, Rosales, Cannabaceae. The record is from RefSeq and is a predicted model, not a curated record. The transcript is spliced from 2 exons.